CUAUACAUGCAAGUCGACGAGCUCUCCCAAAUUGAUUUUAUGCUUGCAUAAAUGAUUUUUGGAUUCGGAGCGAGUGGCGAACUGGUGAGUAACACGUGGGUAACCUGCCCCGAAGCGGGGGAUAACAUUUGGAAACAAGUGCUAAUACCGCAUAAUUAGUUGGAACCGCAUGGUUCCAACUUGAAAGAUGGCUCUGCUAUCACUUUGGGAUGGACCCGCGCCGUAUUAGUUAGUUGGUGAGAUAAAAGCCCACCAAGACGAUGAUACGUAGCCGACCUGAGAGGGUAAUCGGCCACAUUGGGACUGAGACACGGCCCAGACUCCUACGGGAGGCAGCAGUAGGGAAUCUUCCACAAUGGACGAAAGUCUGAUGGAGCAACGCCGCGUGAGUGAUGAAGGUUUUCGGAUCGUAAAACUCUGUUGUUAAAGAAGAACAAGUGUUAGAGUAACUGUUAACACUUUGACGGUAUUUAACCAGAAAGCCACGGCUAACUACGUGCCAGCAGCCGCGGUAAUACGUAGGUGGCAAGCGUUGUCCGGAUUUAUUGGGCGUAAAGCGAGCGCAGGCGGUUUUGUAAGUCUGCUGUGAAAGCCCUCAGCUCAACUGAGGAAGUGCAGUGGAAACUACAAAACUUGAGUACAGAAGAGGAAAGUGGAACUCCAUGUGUAGCGGUGAAAUGCGUAAAUAUAUGGAAGAACACCAGUGGCGAAGGCGGCUUUCUGGUCUGUUACUGACGCUGAGGCUCGAAAGCAUGGGUAGCGAACAGGAUUAGAUACCCUGGUAGUCCAUGCCGUAAACGAUGAAUACUAGGUGUUGGAGGGUUUCCGCCCUUCAGUGCCGCAGCUAACGCAUUAAGUAUUCCGCCUGGGGAGUACGACCGCAAGGUUGAAACUCAAAGGAAUUGACGGGGGCCCGCACAAGUGGUGGAGCAUGUGGUUUAAUUCGAUGCUACGCGAAGAACCUUACCAGCUCUUGACAUCUUCUGCCAACCCAAGAGAUUGGGCGUUCCCUUCGGGGACAGAAUGACAGUGGGUGCAUGGUUGUCNUCAGCUUCGUGUCGUGAGAUGUUNGUUGGGUCCGGGCAACAGCGCAACCCUUAUUAUUAGNNGCCAGCAUUAGNUGGGGNUGUUA
RNAcentral lists this ribosomal RNA (1132 nucleotides) under Apilactobacillus kunkeei. RNAcentral's name for it is "bacterial SSU rRNA". It matches the Rfam family "Bacterial small subunit ribosomal RNA", at positions 49 to 1142 of the family's 1533-position model. The record is from RNAcentral. Lineage: Bacteria; Bacillati; Bacillota; Bacilli; Lactobacillales; Lactobacillaceae.